Long non-coding RNA from Megalobrama amblycephala (Wuchang bream), 2095 nucleotides. RefSeq lists it as uncharacterized. The transcript is spliced from 3 exons. The record is from RefSeq and is a predicted model, not a curated record. Lineage: Eukaryota; Metazoa; Chordata; Actinopteri; Cypriniformes; Xenocyprididae.
AACAAGCGACCCCAACAUAUACCAUUACAAAGCCCUAAAACACCAAGAGCUGAGCGUAAGUAAAAGUCCCCUGUGCCAGCUGGUGCUGAGACUGACUGACCUCACACCCGCUGAGAUCUGCCAGCCUCAGGACUCACACACACUCACACACAUUCGGCUUACACAAAUUAUAAACACAGAAAAAGACAAGUACAUCACCCAUUGGACAAACACCAUUAAAAACCAACACAAACUGGAAUGUUAUUCGGCACUAAAUUGAGAAUACGCUAUUGCGAACUACCUGAGCACAGUGAGUGAUGCGAAACUCAGGAAAACACUGAUGGUGUACAGACUCAGCGAGCACAGUCUGGCCAUAGAGACGGGCCGGCGCAGACAGACCUGGCUCUCCCGUGAGGACAGACUGUGCUCGCACUGCAUCCUGGGAGUGACGGAGACGGAGCUGCACUUCCUCACAGAAUGCCCAAAAUACCAAGAUAUCAGAGACCACUACUUCCCCAAAAUUAAUAAAAUAUUCCCCCAAUUUAACUCCUAUAGCCCAAUCCAAAAACUAUAUUACAUUCUUGGUGAAGAAGACAAAUGUUCCAAUAUAGCUGCAAGAUUUGUUGCAUCUUGCCAUCUCCUGAGGGACAACCAGAAAGAAACAAACAGCCAAUAAACACAUCCCCAUUAGACCUACACACUGUAUAUACUGUAUAUAAUGUUCAAAUUCUAAGUUCAGUUAUUACAUGAUUUCUGUAUUAUAAUCUUUUUUAUUUAUUAUUUUUAGAAUUAUUCUAUUUUGUUACUAAAAUUAUUUUUAUUAAUUUUAUUAUUUUCUACAUAGGCUUUACUCAGAUGUUCUGUUAUUCUAAAUAUUUUUCUAUGUUGGUUAAAUGCUUUGGCAAUACAAAAUGUAUUUUUUUGUCAUGCCAAUAAAGCUAUCUGAAUUGAAUUGAGAGAGAGAGAGAGAGAGAGAGAGAGAGAGAAGUCAUUGGCCUGUGUAUUUCACAUGAAAACAACCAUCUGUAAUUAAUUAAUUAUGAAAAGAUAUAAUUUCAUGGCCUAAAUGUUUUAGUUAUAUUCACAUUAAAUAUUGAUGUAUAAUUUCUCUUGAAUGUACGUUAUAGGUUACAUUUCAUCAGCAAGUCCAUCCAUACAGAGCAAUAUUUAACUGACAUAUUAAUUCUUGUUUCUUUUUCUCCUUUUCAUUGUGUGUAAUCAGAUCAUUGGUUCUGCUCUGUAAGUAUUCGACUCACUGUCUGACACAUUCUCAGUUUUUGUAUUGUAGAUUGCACCAUAUAACUGUACUUUCAUAAACAUUUUGCUUGUUAUCUGUUAAUCUUUUGGGUAUCACUGUAUCUGACAGUACAGUGGUGCCAUGUGUCACAUUCUCAGAUGUCAUUGUACAUAUUCAUGAAUAAAAGAUUUAAACUGGCUUCAUACCAUUGAAAUGUUGUUUGUCCUCUCUCUUUUCAUUAUUCUUUGCCAUCUAGUCCUGAUUCCUGACUACAAGUCUUCAGGAUGACCAGGAACUACAGGACGGUUUGAGCUACACUCUGCAGGACGUUGGUCCUCCAUGACCAGGACUGGACACCACUGUCCUAAAUAAACCUAAGGAGAGCCGCUCAAGCACAGGUCACUGCAUCUUUUGCUGUAUAAAAAAGCGCACAAAAAGCGGCCAGGCCACAGCUUCCAAAGUGGAAACUCCUGUUAAAUCAUGGCUCCAUAAUGCAAGAGACUGGGAUGGUGGAAGGAGCAGAAGAACCAGAAGACUGGAGAUCAGGCAAAGAUCUACUGGUACCCGAGGGGAUUGAUCACUCAUCUCCAUCCACAAAUGAAUGAUUUCUGAAUGAUCAUGUGACACUGACAACUGGAUGCAGGCUGCUGAAUAUUAAGUUUUAACAUCACAGGAAAAUUUUACUUUGUAAAAUAUAUUAAAACAGUUCAGGGCUCGACAUUUUCCUGUGACGAGUAAAUCGGUCAUUCACAAACUCUGUUGUAAAUACAAUUUAUUCUGCAGCAUCAGUGUUAAGGCCGGCUGUGACGUAUAAAUCUGCAUAUUUAUGAUAUUUUUACCUUUAUAAAGGGCAUUUUCCCCAUUAUUAAAUAAAUGCUU